This 429-nucleotide ribosomal RNA is filed under the name bacterium. RNAcentral's name for it is "partial 16S ribosomal RNA". It matches the Rfam family "Bacterial small subunit ribosomal RNA", at positions 355 to 776 of the family's 1533-position model. The record is from RNAcentral.
UAGGGAAUCUUCGGCAAUGGGGGCAACCCUGACCGAGCAACGCCGCGUGAGUGAAGAAGGUUCUCGGCUCGUAAAGCUCUGUUGUAAGAGAAGAACGUGUGUGAGAGUGGAAAGUUCACACAGUGACGGUAACUUACCAGAAAGGGACGGCUAACUACUUGCCAGCAGCCGCGGUAAUACGUAGGUCCCGAGCGUUGUCCGGAUUUAUUGGGCGUAAAGCGAGCGCAGGCGGUUUAAUAAGUCUGAAGUUAAAGGCAGUGGCUUAACCAUUGUUCGCUUUGGAAACUGUUAAACUUGAGUGCAGAAGGGGAGAGUGGAAUUCCAUGUGUAGCAGUGAAAUGCGUAGAUAUAUGGAGGAACACCGGUGGCGAAAGCGGCUCUCUGGUCUGUAACUGACGCUGAGGAUCGAAAGCGUGGGGAGCAAACAGG